Pelobates cultripes (western spadefoot toad) is the source of this 1202-nucleotide non-coding RNA. Lineage: Eukaryota; Metazoa; Chordata; Amphibia; Anura; Pelobatidae. The record is from the annotation of a GenBank genome assembly.
CUGGGUAUAAGGUAUACAUGUGGUGUUGGAUGCCGGUUAAAUAGAAUUUGAUGGUGGUGUGUGACAGUUUGAGUUUUAGAUGACAAUAUGAAGCAAAAGCUACCUGCAUGGAAAUGGCAAAAACUGAUCCAAGUCAUGUUCUGACAUGAACCUCUUAUAUAUUUUGAAAGCUCUAUUGUAAGACUGUUUGGUAUUGUCGGACAGGGUUAAACUAGCCAAGGCGUGACUAUGCCUUGCCAAUUCUUUCAGUCCAUUACCAGAUCCUGAAAAUGUGGUGCUGCAGUGGCUGUUGGGGAGGCUGUGGUUAACGUGCCUCUGAAAGCCUGGAAUUCAAAGCGAGACAAUUUGUCGGCUGCAGUAUUAAAGAUCCCUGGUACAUGAGAACACAUCAGCCAGGUCAGUCUUCUCAUGAAUCUCAUUAUUAUCAGAGACUCGGAACGACCUUUGUUUAUGAUGUGGCAGGUAGCUUGGUUGUCGGAGAAAUAGCGUACCGAGCUACCUGCCCAAGACUGACCCCAGACCACAGCUGCUGCAACUAUAGUGUAUAUCUCAAAUAAGGCUGAGGUGCGUGAGAGCCCUUCGAUGUGCUGGACCUCCUCUGGCCAACCAUCCCAAAGCCACUCAUUCCAAAUAUGGCAGCAAAACCUGUUGAUGCUGCUGCAUCCAUCUAAAUGACCGGAGAAUGGACAGACAAUGGAGGCAAGAACAUGCUUCUGCCAUUCCACUGCAACAAGAAUUUGCGCCCCAUAAACAAAUCAGCCACAGCCUGUACAUCCAAGCAGAUAUGGGUAACGUCAUUUGGUAUGAGAGGGAGGAGGCAAAGGAGUCUAGAAAUAAAGGCUCUACCUUGCGGAAUGAUGCGUAUUGCAAAAUUUAACUAUCCCAACAAAGAUUGCAAUUCCUUCCGAUUGCAUGUCCUACUGACCAAAAAGUCGUUGAUGGUUCAUAGUCUGUCAAUUUUGUCUGAGGGGAGGCUCGCUUCCAUGGUUACUGAAUCGAGCAGGAUACCCAAGAAAUUAACUACCAUGUCAGGACCUUCUGUUUUCUUGGGAGAAACUGGCACCCCCAACAUGUGGGAAAAAAACAAGAUGGCCUUGGUCAGAUCACUAGGGGAAGAGGAAUUAUUCUCCACGAACAGAAAGUCGUCCAGAUAAUGUAUAACGGCCUGGCAUCUGCAGUUGUUUACCAGUAGCCAACAUAAG